AAGUCGUAACAAGGUUUCCGUAGGUGAACCUGCGGAAGGAUCAUUAAAAAAUGAGGUAUUUUAUACCUCUUGUAUUUAAAACCCAACUCUAAAAUAUAAAUUUUUAAUAAAAAAAAAAACUUUCAACAAUGGAUCUCUUGGCUCUC
This 146-nucleotide unclassified non-coding RNA is filed under the name Gigaspora rosea. RNAcentral describes it as "partial internal transcribed spacer region". The stretch from base 1 to 46 matches the Rfam family "Eukaryotic small subunit ribosomal RNA", at positions 1786 to 1831 of the family's 1831-position model. Lineage: Eukaryota; Fungi; Glomeromycota; Glomeromycetes; Diversisporales; Gigasporaceae. The record is from RNAcentral.